This is a long non-coding RNA of Acipenser ruthenus (sterlet), 997 nucleotides long. RefSeq lists it as uncharacterized. The record is from RefSeq and is a predicted model, not a curated record. The transcript is spliced from 3 exons. Lineage: Eukaryota; Metazoa; Chordata; Actinopteri; Acipenseriformes; Acipenseridae.
GUCUCCAGGGAGGAUCUGGCAUCGCUGAAGGCCCAUCUCCAGAAGAUCCAGGAGCAGAGACAGCGAGCCGCCCACCCCCUUCCCGCAGCCUCCACCCCAGCUCCUGCAGAGCUGACAGCUCGACUGAAACUAGCAUGGGAGCUGGGGGCCAAGGACCAAGAUUCACAGAAUAGGGCAAACUCGUUCGGCAAACCUGCGAUCUCCAGGCUAUUAAAAUGGAGAAGGCCUUGGCUAACAUGGCUCUCAAGAUGUCUGAGAGGGGCAGGGAAGAGCGGAAGGAAUCUCCUGCGAAGCCCCCCCAGGCUGCCCCUCCCACUCCAGAACCCACACCAGCUGCUUCCAGUGCCCUCAAAGGGGUCUCUUAGUCCCUGCUCGACAGGAUCCGAGCGAAGGAGGCCCAGAAGCUGAAGGCCCUGAUCACCCGAAACCCGCAGCAGGAGCACCGCCUGCUGAUGAUGUCACGGCUGCCGGAUUUUGGGCGGAUCCUCCGCACUGUCUUUGUGGCUGAGAAGAAGCCGUCUCUCCUCGUGGAAACUGCCUGCAGCCGAGUCAUUGCCAGCUACCGCUCCCUCGUGACUGCAGGUGAGCUGGGGGCUUCAAGUAGUAUUCUACAGGGAUGGAAAUAAGACUCCCAUUGCAUUGCAGUUUGAUCCAUUCCAGGUUUUACUCUGUUUUAAUGACUUACCUGAGCUUGUUACUUGUACACUGUGACUCAUCAAAUCUUUCAUACAACUGCUACAAUAACAAUUAUAUGGCUCUUUGUUAAUUUGGGGACAUCCUUUAUCAAUGAACAUUGGAAAGAUAAAGGAAUCCGAGAGAUAAUCUAUUUGGGGGAAAAUACUAGGAUGGUAUUUAGAUCCUUCAACAGUUUAAUUUACAGGGUGGUGAAUCCAGAUUGUAUACUCAAAUUAGAAACUCACUUACAAUUAUUACGGUCCCAGAUUACAAUGCCCAGUAAUUCUUUUGGCAAAAAGAGCUAGUGUUUUUUUUAUGGAAA